RNAcentral lists this ribosomal RNA (207 nucleotides) under uncultured bacterium. Its description in RNAcentral is "partial 16S ribosomal RNA". It matches the Rfam family "Bacterial small subunit ribosomal RNA", at positions 568 to 774 of the family's 1533-position model. The record is from RNAcentral.
CUCGUAGGCGGUUCGUCGCGUCCGGUGUGAAAGUCCAUCGCUUAACGGUGGAUCUGCGCCGGGUACGGGCGGGCUGGAGUGUGGUAGGGGAGACUGGAAUUCCCGGUGUAACGGUGGAAUGUAUAGAUAUCGGGAAGAACACCAAUGGCGAAGGCAGGUCUCUGGGCCGUUACUGACGCUGAGGAGCGAAAGCGUGGGGAGCGAACA